ACCGCUACCACCGAGACCAGCAAUGUUGGUGCAAGAAGAAGAACUAGAUGAUAGAACUUGUCCUCUUUGCAGCGAUGUCAUCCAUUCAGACACACCUAUAGGCCUAAAUGCUUUUGCUAAUAUUAAGGUAUUUGGAGUGAUGAGAAUAAUGGAGACUAUUAUAAAAAAUAAUGAAAUGAAUCUUUUCAGGAUAUCCAUGUUUUUUUUUGUGUUCCUUUUUUUUGGUUGAGAUAGAGAGGGUCAGGCAAUUUUUG
This 254-nucleotide long non-coding RNA is filed under the name Nicotiana benthamiana. RNAcentral describes it as "long non-coding RNA (NBEN_LNC026567)". The record is from RNAcentral. Lineage: Eukaryota; Viridiplantae; Streptophyta; Magnoliopsida; Solanales; Solanaceae.